GGAUGCGACCAUACCAGCACUAAAGCACCGGAUCCAAUCAGAACACCGAAUUUAAGCAUGUUUGGGUGAGAGUCGUACUAGGAUGGGUGACCUCCUGGGAAGUACGCGUCUAGCGACGG
Non-coding RNA from Triticum aestivum (bread wheat), 119 nucleotides. The record is from Rfam. NCBI's taxonomy places the organism in Eukaryota, Viridiplantae, Streptophyta, Magnoliopsida, Poales, Poaceae.